Molecule: non-coding RNA, 189 nt
Organism: Triticum aestivum (bread wheat)
Lineage: Eukaryota; Viridiplantae; Streptophyta; Magnoliopsida; Poales; Poaceae
Source: Rfam
GAUGUACUCCCUCCGUCCGGAAAUACUUGUCCGAGAAAUACAUAAAAAUGGAUGCGCAAAGAACCAAGCAGAUUGCCCCAGUGGAUAAAUAAGGAAUACAGAAACAAAAACAACAAUUGGACUAAGACCAAUAUACAUCUAGAUACAUCCAUUUCUCCGACAAGUAUUUCCGAACGGAGGGAGUAAGAG